RNAcentral lists this ribosomal RNA (460 nucleotides) under uncultured bacterium. RNAcentral's name for it is "partial 16S ribosomal RNA". It matches the Rfam family "Bacterial small subunit ribosomal RNA", at positions 338 to 795 of the family's 1533-position model. The record is from RNAcentral.
CCUACGGGUGGCAGCAGUGAGGAAUAUUGGUAAAUGGGCGUAAGCCUGAACCAGCCAAGUCGCGUGAGGGAUGAAGGUUCUAUGGAUCGUAAACCUCUUUUAUAAGGGAAUAAAGUGUGGGACGUGUCCUGUUUUGUAUGUACCUUAUGAAUAAGGAUCGGCUAACUCCGUGCCAGCAGCCGCGGUAAUACGGAGGAUCCGAGCGUUAUCCGGAUUUAUUGGGUUUAAAGGGUGCGUAGGCGGCCUUGUAAGUAAGCGGUGAAAGUCUGUGGCUCAACCAUAGAAUUGCCGUUGAAACUGGGAGGCUUGAGUAUGUUUGAGGCCGGCGGAAUGCGUGGUGUAGCGGUGAAAUGCUUAGAUAUCACGCAGAACCCCGAUUGCGAAGGCAGCCUGCCAAGCCAUGACUGACGCUGAUGCACGAAAGCGUGGGGAUCAAACAGGAUUAGAGACCCUGGUAGUC